This 180-nucleotide non-coding RNA is filed under the name Butyricimonas virosa. The record is from RNAcentral. Lineage: Bacteria; Pseudomonadati; Bacteroidota; Bacteroidia; Bacteroidales; Odoribacteraceae.
UUUUGGUGUCACAUGAUUGUUUUAAUCAUGUGGUGAAAAGGGAAUCCGGUGUGAAUCCGGAACAGGCCCGCUGCUGUAAGCUUCAUCAAUGUCUUUGGCAAGACUCGUAUCCACUGUUUCGAAUGAAAAUGGGAAGGAUGUUCAAAGGCGAAGUAAGUCAGAAAACCUGCCAGAAUUAUA